This 245-nucleotide unclassified non-coding RNA is filed under the name Hevea brasiliensis (rubber tree). Lineage: Eukaryota; Viridiplantae; Streptophyta; Magnoliopsida; Malpighiales; Euphorbiaceae. The record is from RNAcentral.
AAAAAAGUGGCUGCUGGAAGAAAAAUAGCUAAGGAAAUAUUUUAUGUGCACUUUUUUUAAUAAAAAUGAGGUGAAAUUUUAAAUUAAAUUAUAGGGUCUAACAAUCCUAUAAAAAAGAAAAAAAGAAAGAAUUGACUGAAUCUAGUGAAGAAUUGGACGAUUCAUAUCAAUCCACCUGAUUUACAAUCCACUCUUUUAAUUUAGUCACAGUUCAUAAGAAUUGUACUACAUUAAAUCAAAUUGGG